Molecule: ribosomal RNA, 1439 nt
Filed under: uncultured bacterium
Lineage: Bacteria
Description: bacterial SSU rRNA
Rfam family: Bacterial small subunit ribosomal RNA
Source: RNAcentral
AGGGUUUGAUCAUGGCUCAGAACGUACGCUGGCGGCACGCCUAAUACAUGCAAGUCGAACGAAGUAGCAAUACUUAGUGGCAGACGGGUGAGUAACAUGUAGGUAUCUUCCCAUUGGUGAGGAAUAACACGAGGAAACUUGUGCUAAUACCUCAUAAGUCUUUACGGAGAAAGCUUUAUGCGCCGAUGGAUGAGCCUGCACUUGAUUAGUUUGUUGGUAGGGUAAUGGCCUACCAAGACAAUGAUCAAUAGCUGAUUUGAGAGGAUGAUCAGCCACAUUGGGACUGAGACACGGCCCAAACUCCUACGGGAGGCAGCAGUAGGGAAUCUUGCACAAUGGGGGAAACCCUGAUGCAGCGAUGCCGCGUGAGUGAAGAAGGCCUUUGGGUUGUAAAGCUCUUUCGUCGGGGAAGAAAAUGACUGUACCCGAAUAAGAAGGUCCGGCUAACUUCGUGCCAGCAGCCGCGGUAAUACGAAGGGACCUAGCGUAGUUCGGAAUUACUGGGCUUAAAGAGUUCGUAGGUGGUUAAAAAAGUUGGUGGUGAAAUCCCAGAGCUUAACUCUGGAACUGCCAUCAAAACUUUUUAGCUAGAGUAUGAUAGAGGAAAGCAGAAUUUCUAGUGUAGAGGUGAAAUUCGUAGAUAUUAGAAAGAAUACCGAUUGCGAAGGCAGCUUUCUGGAUCAUUACUGACACUGAGGAACGAAAGCAUGGGUAGCGAAGAGGAUUAGAUACCCUCGUAGUCCAUGCCGUAAACGAUGUGUGUUAGACGUUGGAAAUUUAUUUUCUGUGUCGCAGCGAAAGCAAUAAACACACCGCCUGGGGAGUACGACCGCAAGGUUAAAACUCAAAUGAAUUGACGGGGACCCGCACAAGUAGUGGAGCAUGUGGUUUAAUUCGAAGAUACGCGCAGAACCUUACCAACACUUGACAUGUUCGUCGCGACUUUAAGAGAUUAAAGUUUUCGGUUCGGCCGGACGAAACACAGGUGCUGCAUGGCUGUCGUCAGCUCGUGUCGUGAGAUGUUGGGUUAAGUCCCGCAACGAGCGCAACCCUCACUUUUAGUUGCCAUCAUUUAGUUGGGCACUCUGAAAGAACUGCCAGUGAUAAGCUGGAGGAAGGUGGGGAUGACGUCAAGUCCUCAUGGCCCUUACGUGUUGGGCUACACACGUGCUACAAUGGCAUUUACAAUAGGAAGCAAAACGGCGACGUUAAGCAAAUCCUAAAAAAAUGCCUCAGUUCGGAUUGUACUCUGCAACUCGAGUACAUGAAGCUGGAAUUACUAGUAAUCGCGGAUCAGCGCGCCGCGGUGAAUACGUUCCCGGGUCUUGUACACACCGCCCGUCACACCAUGGGAGUUGGUUCUACCUUAAGGCAAAGUUUAAUACCUUUGACCACGGUAUAGUCAGCGACUGGGGUGAAGUCGUAACAAGGUAGCCGUA